RNAcentral lists this ribosomal RNA (238 nucleotides) under uncultured bacterium. RNAcentral describes it as "partial 16S ribosomal RNA". It matches the Rfam family "Bacterial small subunit ribosomal RNA", at positions 96 to 334 of the family's 1533-position model. The record is from RNAcentral.
UGGCGGACGGGUGAGUAACGCGUGGGUAACCUGCCUCAUACAGGGGGAUAACGGUUAGAAAUGACUGCUAAUACCGCGUAAGCGCACAGUACCGCAUGGUACGGUGUGAAAAACUCCGGUGGUAUGAGAUGGACCCGCGUCUGAUUAGCUAGUUGGUGGGGUAACGGCCCACCAAGGCGACGAUCAGUAGCCGACCUGAGAGGGUGACCGGCCACAUUGGGACUGAGACACGGCCCAG